UGGUGGCUGCCCUCAGGGAGAGC
Molecule: microRNA, 23 nt
Filed under: Gallus gallus (chicken)
Lineage: Eukaryota; Metazoa; Chordata; Aves; Galliformes; Phasianidae
Description: gga-miR-7443-5p
Source: miRBase by way of RNAcentral